This 265-nucleotide ribosomal RNA is filed under the name uncultured prokaryote. Its description in RNAcentral is "partial 16S ribosomal RNA". It matches the Rfam family "Bacterial small subunit ribosomal RNA", at positions 524 to 789 of the family's 1533-position model. The record is from RNAcentral.
UACGUAGGGGACGAGCGUUGUCCGGAAUUACUGGGCGUAAAGGGCGCGCAGGCUGUAGAUCAAGUCAGCUGUGAAAUGUAUGGGCCUAACCCGGGCAUGCGGUUGAAACUGAUGUACUGGAGUGCUGUAGAGGCAAGUGGAAUUCCCAGUGUAGCGGUGAAAUGCGUAGAUAUUGGGAAGAACACCGGUGGCGAAGGCGACUUGCUGGGCAGCAACUGACGCUGGGGCGCGAAAGCCAGGGGAGCAAACGGGAUUAGAUACCCCU